UUUCCGUAGGUGAACCUGCGGAAGGAUCAUUCAUAAUAAGUGUUUUACUGCACUUUUUAAAAAUAGUCCUCACCCUGUGUGCCAUCUUGGGUUUCUUUUCGGAGAAACACCUACACCAACCUAUAACCUUGAAUCACUUUGUCUGAAAAACUAUUAUGAAUACUUAAUUCAAAAUACAACUUUCAACAACGGAUCUCUUGGCUCUC
This 206-nucleotide unclassified non-coding RNA is filed under the name plant metagenome. RNAcentral's name for it is "partial contains small subunit ribosomal RNA, internal transcribed spacer 1, and 5.8S ribosomal RNA". The record is from RNAcentral.